RNAcentral lists this microRNA precursor (122 nucleotides) under Gossypium hirsutum (cotton). RNAcentral's name for it is "MIR7504 microRNA precursor family". It matches the Rfam family "MIR7504 microRNA precursor family". Lineage: Eukaryota; Viridiplantae; Streptophyta; Magnoliopsida; Malvales; Malvaceae. The record is from Rfam by way of RNAcentral. RNAcentral also lists the same sequence under 1 other name.
AAUAGUUUUAUGCCACAUCAGUACUCUUAUCCUGAAUUUCAGGAUUUUAUCCUGAAAAAAAUCAAAUCCAAAUUAAAAUACUAAAAUUCAGGAUAAAAAUACUGAUGUGGCAUAAAACUAUU